AUUCCAGCUCCAAUAGCGUAUAUUAAAGUUGUUGCAGUUAAAAAGCUCGUAGUUGGAUCUCGGGCGCAGGCUGGCGGUCCACCUCGCGGUGGCUACUGCCUGUCCUGCCCUACCUGCCGGUUUUCCCCUGGUGCUCUUCACUGAGUGCCUCGGGUGGCCGGAACGUUUACUUUGAAAAAAUUAGAGUGUUCAAAGCAGGCAUUUCGCCUGAAUAAUGGUGCAUGGAAUAAUGGAAUAGGACCUCGGUUCUAUUUUGUUGGUUUUCGGAACUUGAGGUAAUGAUUAAGAGGGACAGACGGGGGCAUUCGUAUUGCGGUGUUAGAGGUGAAAUUCUUGGAUCGCCGCAAGACGAACUACUGCGAAAGCAUUUGCCAAGCAUGUUUUCAUCA
Molecule: ribosomal RNA, 389 nt
Filed under: Annelida sp.
Lineage: Eukaryota; Metazoa; Annelida
Description: partial small subunit ribosomal RNA
Rfam family: Eukaryotic small subunit ribosomal RNA
Source: RNAcentral